CCUACGGGGGGCGGCAGUGGGGAAUAUUGGACAAUGGGGGAAACCCUGAUCCAGCCAUGCCGCGUGUGUGAAGAAGGUCUUAGGAUUGUAAAGCACUUUAAGUUGGGAGGAAGGGCAGUUAACUAAUAUUUGACUGUUUUGACGUUACCGACAGAAUAAGCACCGGCUAACUUCGUGCCAGCAGCCCCGGUC
RNAcentral lists this ribosomal RNA (192 nucleotides) under uncultured bacterium. RNAcentral describes it as "partial 16S rRNA". It matches the Rfam family "Bacterial small subunit ribosomal RNA", at positions 338 to 522 of the family's 1533-position model. The record is from RNAcentral.